CAAUUGGAGGAGAAUAACAGGAUUCUCUUAGUAACGGCGAGUGAACGGAGAUUAGCCCAUCACCGAAGUCUAUUUCCUCUUGUGGACCGGACGAUGUGUUGUUUAGGUGUGUAUCUGGAAGUGCUUGCCUACUCGAAGUCCAUCUCCGAUUAAGGCUAGGUCCAUGCCCAGAGCGUGUGAAAGGCCCGUUCGGGUAGGCUGUAUUGUUUUGAGGCGCUUCUCGGAUGUACAUACCUUCGAGUCGGAUUGCUUGAGAAUGCAGUCCAAAGUGGGUGGUAAACUCCAUCCAAGGCUAAAUACUGGCACGAGUCCGAUAGUAGACAAGUACCGUGAGGGAAAGUUGAAAAGUACUCUGAAGAG
Molecule: ribosomal RNA, 360 nt
Filed under: Dactylogyrus scorpius
Lineage: Eukaryota; Metazoa; Platyhelminthes; Monogenea; Dactylogyridea; Dactylogyridae
Description: partial large subunit ribosomal RNA
Rfam family: Eukaryotic large subunit ribosomal RNA
Source: RNAcentral